This 459-nucleotide ribosomal RNA is filed under the name uncultured bacterium. Its description in RNAcentral is "partial 16S ribosomal RNA". It matches the Rfam family "Bacterial small subunit ribosomal RNA", at positions 338 to 795 of the family's 1533-position model. The record is from RNAcentral.
CCUACGGGAGGCAGCAGUGAGGAAUAUUGGUCAAUGGGCGCGAGCCUGAACCAGCCAAGUCGCGUGAGGGAAGACGGUCCUAUGGAUUGUAAACCUCUUUUGUCGGGGAGAAAAAGACGCCACGCGUGGCGUUCCGAGAGUACCCGAACAAAAAGCCUCGGCUAACUCCGUGCCGGCAGCCGCGGUAAUACGGCGGAUGCGAGCGUUGUCCGGAUUUAUUGGGUUUAAAGGGUGCGCAGGCGGAAGAUCAAGUCAGCGGGAAAAUUGAGAGGCUCAACCUCGUCUGGCCGUGGAAACGGGUUUUCUGGAGUGAGUGAGAAGUAUGCGGAAUGCGUGGUGUAGCGGUGAAAUGCAUAGAUAUCACGCAGAACUCCGAUUGCGAAGGCAGCAUACCGGCGCUCAACUGACGCUCAUGCACGAAAGUGUGGGUAUCGAACAGGAUUAGAUACCCCAGUAGUC